Molecule: ribosomal RNA, 330 nt
Filed under: uncultured eukaryote
Lineage: Eukaryota
Description: partial 18S ribosomal RNA
Rfam family: Eukaryotic small subunit ribosomal RNA
Source: RNAcentral
CCCUUAGAUGUUCUGGGCCGCACGCGCGCUACACUGAUGCAUUCAACGAGUCUAAAACCUGGUCUGAUAGGGCUGGGUAAUCUUUUGAAAGUGCAUCGUGAUUGGGAUAGAUGAUUGCAAUUCUUCAUCUUCAACGAGGAGUGCCUAGUAAACGCAAGUCAUCAGCUUGCAUUGAUUACGUCCCUGCCCUUUGUACACACCGCCCGUCGCUCCUACCGAUUGAAUGAUCCGAUGAAUACCAUGGAUUGAGAGUACGAAUGGGUUCGCUCAUUUCUGCUGCUCGAGAAGUGGAGUAAAUCUUAUCAUUUAGAGGAAGGAGAAGUCGUAACA